RNAcentral lists this ribosomal RNA (1469 nucleotides) under Flavobacteriaceae bacterium. RNAcentral describes it as "bacterial SSU rRNA". It matches the Rfam family "Bacterial small subunit ribosomal RNA". The record is from RNAcentral. Lineage: Bacteria; Pseudomonadati; Bacteroidota; Flavobacteriia; Flavobacteriales; Flavobacteriaceae.
GAUGAACGCUAGCGGGAGGCCUAACACAUGCAAGCCGAGCGGUAGAGAUGCUACUAUAUAAUGAGAGCGGCGUACGGGUGCGGAACACGUGUGCAACCUGCCUUUAUCAGGGGGAUAGCCUAUCGAAAGAGAGAUUAAUACCCCAUAAUAUUUAUUACGGCAUCGUGAUAAAUUGAAAGUUUCGGCGGAUAGAGAUGGGCACGCGUAAGAUUAGAUAGUUGGUGAGGUAACGGCUCACCAAGUCGAUGAUCUUUAGGGGGCCUGAGAGGGUGAUCCCCCACACUGGUACUGAGACACGGACCAGACUCCUACGGGAGGCAGCAGUGAGGAAUAUUGGACAAUGGGUGAGAGCCUGAUCCAGCCAUCCCGCGUGAAGGACGACGGACCUAUGGUUUGUAAACUUCUUUUCUAUAGGGAUAAACCUACCUUCGUGAGGGUAGCUGAAGGUACUAUAGGAAUAAGCACCGGCUAACUCCGUGCCAGCAGCCGCGGUAAUACGGAGGGUGCAAGCGUUAUCCGGAUUUAUUGGGUUUAAAGGGUCCGCAGGCGGACUGGUAAGUCAGUGGUGAAAUCUCAUAGCUCAACUAUGAAACUGCCGUUGAUACUGUCAGUCUUGAGUGUAUAUGAAGUAGCUGGAAUGAGUAGUGUAGCGGUGAAAUGCAUAGAUAUUACUCAGAACACCAAUUGCGAAGGCAGGUUACUAAUAUACAACUGACGCUGAGGGACGAAAGCGUGGGGAGCGAACAGGAUUAGAUACCCUGGUAGUCCACGCCGUAAACGAUGCUUACUCGUUUUUGGGCUUUAGGGUUCAGAGACUAAGCGAAAGUGAUAAGUAAGCCACCUGGGGAGUACGUUCGCAAGAAUGAAACUCAAAGGAAUUGACGGGGGCCCGCACAAGCGGUGGAUCAUGUGGUUUAAUUCGCUGAUACGCGAGGAACCUUACCAAGGCUUAAAUGGGAAUUGACAGAUUCAGAGAUGGAUUUUUCUUCGGACAAUUUUCAAGGUGCUGCAUGGUUGUCGUCAGCUCGUGCCGUGAGGUGUUAGGUUAAGUCCUGCAACGAGCGCAACCCCUGUCACUAGUUGCUAACAUUAAGUUGAGGACUCUAGUGAGACUGCCUACGCAAGUAGAGAGGAAGGUGGGGAUGACGUCAAAUCAUCACGGCCCUUACGCCUUGGGCUACACACGUGAUACAAUGGCCGGUACAGAGGGCAGCUACUAGGCGACUAGGUGCGAAUCUCGAAAGCCGGUCUCAGUUCGGAUUGGAGUCUGCAACUCGACUCUAUGAAGCUGGAAUCGCUAGUAAUCGCGCAUCAGCCAUGGCGCGGUGAAUACGUUCCCGGGCCUUGUACACACCGCCCGUCAAGCCAUGGAAGUCUGGGGGUACCUGAAGUCGGUGACCGUAACAGGAGCUGCCUAGGGUAAAACAGGUAACUAGGGCUAAGUCGUAACAAGGUAGCCGUACCGGAAG